UUUAGUACCAAAAACACAUUAUAUGAUAUAAGGGGAUUUAAAUAAGUUUUAUUUUUGUUACAUGGGAUAAGAAAAAGAAACAAAAGAAAAAGAAGUAAAGAAAAACUACGUCCUAAUAAGGACACUCCCAUAGCAUCAGCUAGUAAGGCUGAAGAUAGACAUGAGAAUGGUUGAUGUACCAUCACAUGAGACUCUAAAUGAUUAGCACCUAAUUUUGUAAGUAUAUAUGAGCAAGAGUUUCCUUCUCAAAAAAUUUGAUGAAUGGAAAUAUCUCACUUCCUUUGACACUAAAUGCACUGCAUGAAGAGAGUAAGAAAAACAAAUCAGUUUCAUAUAACGAACCUCUCAGCAAAGCUUAAUCUUAAUCACAAAGGCAAAUUGCAAUUUUCCCUCAAAAUUCCUAACCAAUCCACCAUAUCAUGUUUUACCUAGGUUAGUUAAAGCGCUACCAUCUACGUUGAAAACCAGUGAAUCAUUAUCACCAUGUUGCCGGUAUACUUCAUGAGUGGGCCUAACUAGUGCGGUUGAAAUAAUAUUGUCGAAUGUCAGCUGCGAAACUUGCAAUUGCGCAUGAACAGCUGAAAUUGUAGUUGAGACUAUUGAUUAAAUAAGUUAUUUUAACCAUAUAAGUUACAGGUUCAUUUGUUAACUCGAUAAUAAUUUUAUAACUGACCUAAAGAGAGUUUUUAUGAGAGUGAAUGGGAGUACUUUAGACGAAAGGAGAGGGAAAGAGAGAAAUCUCCUUGAAUAUUUAAAAAAAAAAAUAUUACUGUAGAUAAUAAGAAAACAAUGUUAUAGCUUAUAUAUAUAAUAUUUUUAAUUAAAUUUUAUAAAAGUAUAUUAUAUAAAGAUGAAAUUGAAGAAGAUUUUUAAACCUCCAAAAUCCUUCCUUCAACCUUCCUAAUAAGCUUUGUGGAUUUGGGAUAGAAGGAGUGGUUUGCAUACUUAACAAAAUCAUUUAUUUUAAUUCAAAUCUUAUCACCAAUUGAGUAAUUUUUAAGAGUGUAUUUUCUUCGUUAAACUUUUCAUUUUGAUUUUUCCUCUAUUCUCAAUGACCACUACCGUUGAAACAAACCAUCCCAGUUAUUUUAUGUUUUAAAAACUCUUUUGUGUGGUCGAGAUUUAAGGGAUUCUAAAAGAAUCCCCGUAUUCAUAUUGGUUUACACAAGUUUCGAUCAUGUAGAACUUGAAUUUUGAACAAUGACAGAUCUCAACAACAAAAGUUUAAAAAACAAACAUUACAAUAACUCAUGGCUUGUUAAUUAAUUUAAAUACAUGUUAUUCAUAUGCUUCAUUAAUUAUUGAUACAAGAUUUAUAACAUAAUAAUAAUAAUAAUAAUAAUAAUAAUAAUAAUAAUAAUAAUAAUAAUAAUAAUAAUAAUGGCUGACCAAGCAAGAAUUUAUUUAAUACAAACACACCAAUGAGCAUAUGUUAACAUAGCCUGCCUAGCAAAUUUAGUAGCCAAAUAUAUCACACGACAACAUCAACAACAAGCUUACUAUGGCCUGAAUGUCUUCCAUUUGUGCAAUUCAAGACCACCUGGUCUGUUCCUUCGUGGAUAACUUUGAUUGGUUUCAACAUCAACGCCCUCUUCAAUUUCGUAGAUCACUUUAUCACCAUACCUAACCUCAGGUACUCGUUCAUACUCCACCACUUCAACCCUCUCACGAAUCACAGGGUUGUGGUGGUGGUGAUGGAGGCCAGGGGAUCUCUCGAUAUCAUCUUCCUCAUAGAUAACCCUCUUGUUGAAGGCCAUCUCGGCAUUUGGGUAGCGAGGGACGUCGGUGAGAAUACUUGGCUCCCUUCUGACACCUGAAAUGUGGGAGAGGUAGUCCUCGGAUCUCAACAUGAUGUCUUUCUUCUUUGUUUUUAGAUAACACUUGCUUAAUUACUGCCUCAACCGUGCAUGUAUUUAUAUCAACAAAUAUAUAUGGCAUAUGCUAUUCGUUAUUCUCAAUAUUAUUUAAAGUGAUAGUAAUAAAUUGAAUCUAAUUCCCUUCAUGCACCUGACUACAGCCAACAAUUGCUAAAAAGAAGAUAUGGUGGAGGGAAAAGAGGUUGUGCAAAAACAAUGUGGUUCAUUGUUCUUUGCAUGUUAUGUGACCAAAUUGGCGCGUCAUUUCAAUAGAAAAAUACCGGUAAAUAAGAGACAAAUAGAUAUCAUUCCGACAAACAUCUAUUUAUCUCUUGUUAAAAAAAAAAUAGAUGUUUGUCCGAUUGAUAUAUAUUGUAAGAGUAUAAGUUUAGUUCUGCUACCACCGAUGUAAUAUGUUAAUACUUAUGUCAUUGUUCUUUGAGUUUGAGGCAUGUUCUGACCCUAGACAGCCCGGUUAAUCAACUAAAGUAAACUUUUAUUAGUGGAAGAAAAUUAUUCCGAAGGUACGGCCAUUAAAAAUACUCUAAUCACAGGGACAGUUCUUUUAACAAUUGGCAUACGAAUUUUGAUAUAAGGCUUUUUCCUGUUUAAGAACUUUAUUUGGAUGUUAGGUACAAUUAUUUGAGUGUGUAAUAGAAUAGAAGAUGAUCUUACUUUAUUCUCUAAAUAAAAAUGUCAGUUCAUAAAAUUCUCUCAAGAUGCUACGCGCGUUGCUUUGGACAAAUUCUCUCGUGUGCGAUUACUAUUGCAUUGUCGUUCAAGUAGCUAUGUAUUAAUUAUAUUUAGUUUAUUACACAUUUUUAUAAGUCAUUGUUGUUGUUAUUUAACGGUGUUUUACAUAUAAAAAGAAUAGAAACACUGAUCCAUGCUUUUACUAGUUUUUACAUAGAGUCCUUAUACACAUACCUCAAUAGGUGGCACUACACCCUUAUACCACUUUGGAUGACAUAUUUUAUAAUUAAAACAUGAGUUCAGUCAUGCCAAUAAAAUAAAAACUCAAAAACAAAACAAACAAAAAACUAAUUUUAUUUUCUAUCUCUAAACAAAAUCAGAUCCGUCUCUCUCUCUCACACCACUGUUCUCGGCCCUCCUCGCCGCCGUCGCCGUUCCCCAGUGUCUCCGUUUCCUCGCCGUUGUUCGACCUCCUUCCACAUGCUUGUCAUCGCCGUCGUCUCCCUCUUAUUGCUGCUCACUCUCUCUUCCUUCACCAUCUCUUCUCUCAUCGAACACCACCACCGGCCGUCCCAGAUCCGACGCCAUCACCACCUCCACCGGUUCUCUUCCUUCACCGGUUCCUUCACCAAUUCUUUUAUGCUCACCGACAGAACCCAACUGAGAUCUGAGAUCAACAUCCCAAAAUCACUACUUUAUUACUAUAUCCAUCAAAAUUAAAAUUAUUGCAAUAUAUCUCAAAUUUUUGUUGUGGUAUGAAAGGGUGUAUCCAAAAGAUUGGUCUACCUAUCUUUUCCCUUUUACAUAUUAGUGUAUGAGAUAUUUAAAUCUAAGGAGGGUAUGUGCCUCCAUGAAAAAAGGUGGAUAUGUCCUAUAUGCAAGGACGGAAUUACGUAUAGUAUAGUUGAGGGGUUGUCGCCACCCCAAAAACUAAACUUUUAUGACAAUAUAUAUGUAGCAUCAUAUAUAUACUCGUCCACUUUGAGAGAGGGUGCAUUUGUUGAUCAACAAAAUACAAUGUUCAAGUGGUAACAUGUGUCACGUGAGACAUUUAUAUAAAUUUUCCAUGUUUUGCCAUGUUCCAUCAUCUUUUCAUAAUGUUGUUGUUGCUUUCUAGCUUUAAAAAUUUGUGUACAUUAAAUUUGCGUGUUUUAAAGAUAGUAGUAGUAGUGAUUUUUAUUUUUAUAGGAUAAAAAUAAAGCAUUUUUUUGACAAUAUAAAAUAAGGCAUCGUAAUGAUAAGUAAAAAAAAUAUGGAACUACGGAGUUGGAUCAAUUUGUAUUUAACAUUUGGAUAGUUGGAUUAGUGAAAGUGAGUUUUUCUUUUCGAUAAUAAGGAGUUCUUAAAUAUAAUAAUUCAUCUCAGAGUUAUUCUUGAAGACAGCUAACACAGACUAUCGAUCAUCACAUAACUAUGAAUUUUAGUUAAUAUUGAAUUGGAAGCCUAAUGAUAGUGCAACGGUAUGCUCGUGCCAAAACACAUUUGAUUGGAAGCCUAAUGAUAUGUUGAUGACAAGAUAUGAUGAUUAAAGUCCAUAAAACUCGAGUUUUGGAUUCAAUAUUUCAUAUUGCUGAUUCUUUCUUUGAUAAUGAUGAAUAACAAGAGAAUAAAUAGUUAAGCUCAAGCUCUAACUGUUAUGCCAUAUCAACAGAGACCCUAACUAAUAACUUCGUUACAUCAGUUGAGAAAUUUAACCACAUUAACUAACCCUUGUGAUAGCUAUAAUGAUGAUUAACGCAUUGUUUCAUAUACAUUGAUGGAUAUCCCCACCCAACUUAAUUGAUGGUUCCUUCGCAGAAAACACCUUGAGUUUGGUAGGUAUGGAAUCAAAGCAGGGGUAGAGUGGUUUAGUGAAUGAGUCUGAAAUUUGUAAGACCUAGGAACAUGCAACAUAACAAGUUGUUUGGCAAUUACUCUUUCUUAAACAAAAUGGAUGUCAAAUUCAAUGUGCUUUGGGUGAGGGCCGGGCCACAACACUUUAAUUAUCACAAGGGUUAGGGUAGGCAUCAAGGCUCAAAGAGUGUUUACAGAGUUACCUACAAAGGCUCACGGAUUUGGUUUACACAAGUUUUUGGCAUAAGUUUUGAUCGUGCUCACGGAUUUGGUUUACACAUGUUCAUUAAUACAUGAUAUAAAUAUGCUUCAUUAAUUAUUGAUACACGAUUCAUAUAACAUAAUAACGGCUGGCUAAGCAGGAGUUUAUUUAAUUAAUACAAACACACAUCGGUGAUCAUAUGUUAAGAUAUCCUGCCUUGCAUGUUAAGUAACCAUCAAACAAGCUUAUGGCCUGAAUGUGUUCCAUGAGUGACCAUUUGACCUGGUCCUUCGUGGGUAAUAUUGAUUAUUGGUCUCAACAUCCACGUCCUCUUCGUAGAUCACUUGACCACCAUAGGGCCUAACCUCAGGUACACGUUCAUAUUCCACCACUUCAACCCUCUCAACGAUCUCAGGGUUGUGGUGGUGGCGUCCAUGGCGCGAUCCUUCAAUCGCGUCUUCCUCGUAGACAACCCUCUUGUUGAAGGCCAUCUCACCAUUUGGGUAGCGAGAGUAGU
This 5101-nucleotide long non-coding RNA is filed under the name Medicago truncatula (barrel medic). RNAcentral describes it as "long non-coding RNA (MTRU_LNC000921)". The record is from RNAcentral. Lineage: Eukaryota; Viridiplantae; Streptophyta; Magnoliopsida; Fabales; Fabaceae.